GACGAACGCUGGCGGCGUGCUUAACACAUGCAAGUCGAACGGAAAGGCCCUGCUUUUGUGGGGUGCUCGAGUGGCGAACGGGUGAGUAACACGUGAGUAACCUGCCCUUGACUUUGGGAUAACUUCAGGCAACUGGGGCUAAUACCGGAUAGGAGCUCCUGCUGCAUUGGGGGGGUUGGAAAGUUUCGGCGGUUGGGGAUGGACUCGCGGCUUAUCAGCUUGUUGGUGGGGUAGUGGCUUACCAAGGCUUUGACGGGUAGCCGGCCUGAGAGGGUGACCUGCCACAGUGGGACUGAGAUACGGCCCAGCCUCGUACGGGAGGCAGCAGUGGGGAAUAUUGCACAAGGGGCGGAAGCCUGAUGCAGCAACGCCGCGUGCGGGAUGACGUCCUUCGGGUUGUAAACCGCUUUCGCCUGUGACGAAGCGUGAGUGACGGUAAUGGGUAAAGAAGCACCGGCUAACUACGUG
Molecule: ribosomal RNA, 468 nt
Filed under: uncultured bacterium
Lineage: Bacteria
Description: partial 16S ribosomal RNA
Rfam family: Bacterial small subunit ribosomal RNA
Source: RNAcentral